GAUGAACGCUGGCGGCGUGCUUAACACAUGCAAGUCGAACGGAAAGGCUCCUGCUUGCAGGGGUACUCGAGUGGCGAACGGGUGAGUAACACGUGGGUGAUCUGCCCUGCACUUCGGGAUAAGCCUGGGAAACUGGGUCUAAUACCGGAUAGGACGAUGGUUUGGAUGCCAUUGUGGAAAGUUUUUUCGGUGUGGGAUGAGCUCGCGGCCUAUCAGCUUGUUGGUGGGGUAAUGGCCUACCAAGGCGUCGACGGGUAGCCGGCCUGAGGGGGGGUACGGCCACAGUGGGGAGGAGGAGCGGCCCAGACCCCGCGGGGGGGCAGGAGGGGGAAAUUUGGCAAAAGGGGGGGAAGCUGGAGCGAGGCAGCGCGGGGGGGGGAGGACGGCCUUGGGGUUGAAAACCCCUUUCGCUGGGGAAGAACCCGGGGGGCGGGGCCGGGGGAAAAAAACCCCGGCAAACCACGGC
This 466-nucleotide ribosomal RNA is filed under the name uncultured bacterium. RNAcentral describes it as "partial 16S ribosomal RNA". It matches the Rfam family "Bacterial small subunit ribosomal RNA", at positions 28 to 508 of the family's 1533-position model. The record is from RNAcentral.